Long non-coding RNA from Juglans regia (Persian walnut), 1248 nucleotides. RefSeq lists it as uncharacterized. Lineage: Eukaryota; Viridiplantae; Streptophyta; Magnoliopsida; Fagales; Juglandaceae. The transcript is spliced from 6 exons. The record is from RefSeq and is a predicted model, not a curated record.
GUGGUGGUUUAUUGUGGCUCACAAUUCAACGGAGAGAAUGGUGGUUUUCACGGCGAUCAAGACGCAUUCGAUGAUCCAAAGUGUAAGCAUUGCAAUAAAUCUGUUACUGGUCUGAUUUGUAUUCUUCGCCGAAGGGAUUUUCAUUGAUUCGGCUAAGAGAUUCACAAUUGGACCUGAUUUCAAACGUGGCCUUGCUCUCUUCUCGACGGUUGCUUGAUUGAGAAGACAAAAGUCUUUUAGCUUUGGGUCCUAGAAAGACGGCAUCUGUAAUGGCUGUGAUGGAGAACUUAAGCUCUCAACGCUCCUUCAUGGUGCUUCAUAUCUAUGCUGAUGAAUGAAGGGCAGAGAAAUUGUUUUGGGUAGAUAUCUUUCUCUCUUCUAGUUGAACUUGAAUCACUUCUUUCGAAAGGAUAGCAGUACACAGGUUCUGACAAUGUGGCAGUGAAGUUUGUAAAGAUUGAUGAUAAAUGUGUAGGUUUUCCAUGCCAGUUGAUGUUUCAACAAUGCAGAAAUGAACUUCUUAAAGAUUUCUGACAAAAGAUAUUUUCAACAUAACACUCUGAAUACCAGUGUGUGUGAGUGCGUGCAUGUAAGUGUCUGCGAAGUCAGUGUGGCUCUAUAUUCGUGGUAUGGGAUGGGGAAUUCUCUGAGAUCUUUCCACAAAGCUUUGCCUUGUAAAUUACAUGAGAAGGAGAAUGCCUUGUGAGUAAUGGGGUAGAAUGAUGUUGUACAUGGCCCCACCUGAUAGUUGACAUGUUGGGAUCUCCCAGUGUAUCACGUGCUGGUGUCUUCGAGGUGGUUGCGGCUGGAUAGAAUAGCAUCCCUAGGGCAAUAUGUCUCAAUGUGUACCUAUGAGCAAUGAGCAAGUAUGUGUGUGCCUAUGAACAACUGUGGAAAUGAAUGCUUAUGAAGAACAAUACUUGAGUCAAUACUGAUUUUUACAGGUUUUCUAUUAUAUGGAAAUGGGUUACUCCUCGACAUAAUAGUACUAUUGAGUUCUUAUCUAUUUUGCAUAAAAAAGGGCUACAUCCUGAGAAGGUGGUUCGUCACCAUGCCUAUAUAUAUAGACGCACGUAUAUGUUUUCAUUGAGAGGUCAUUCCUCACCAAGUUUUGAGGAUAUACAUAGCUGCAAGAGAGACGGUGAUAUCUCCCCAUGCACAUGUGUGUUCUUUCAAUAUUUACAUGAAACGUUUUCAUUGCAUCUUCGAUAUCAUUAUCUUUCGUUCACUGUCUUGUCACAACUACCU